This 465-nucleotide ribosomal RNA is filed under the name Vreelandella stevensii. RNAcentral describes it as "partial 16S ribosomal RNA". It matches the Rfam family "Bacterial small subunit ribosomal RNA", at positions 338 to 795 of the family's 1533-position model. The record is from RNAcentral. Lineage: Bacteria; Pseudomonadati; Pseudomonadota; Gammaproteobacteria; Oceanospirillales; Halomonadaceae.
CCUACGGGGGGCUGCAGUGGGGAAUAUUGGACAAUGGGGGCAACCCUGAUCCAGCCAUGCCGCGUGUGUGAAGAAGGCCCUCGGGUUGUAAAGCACUUUCAGUGAGGAAGAACGCCUGGUGGUUAAUACCCAUCAGGAAAGACAUCACUCACAGAAGAAGCACCGGCUAACUCCGUGCCAGCAGCCGCGGUAAUACGGAGGGUGCGAGCGUUAAUCGGAAUCACUGGGCGUAAAGCGCGCGUAGGUGGCUUGAUAAGCCGGUUGUGAAAGCCCCGGGCUCAACCUGGGAACGGCAUCCGGAACUGUCAAGCUAGAGUGCAGGAGAGGAAGGUAGAAUUCCCGGUGUAGCGGUGAAAUGCGUAGAGAUCGGGAGGAAUACCAGUGGCGAAGGCGGCCUUCUGGACUGACACUGACACUGAGGUGCGAAAGCGUGGGUAGCAAACAGGAUUAGAUACCCUUGUAGUC